GACGAACGCUGGCGGCGUGCUUAACACAUGCAAGUCGAACGGAAAGGCCCUGCUUUUGUUGGGUGCUCGAGUGGCGAACGGGUGAGUAACACGUGAGUAACCUGCCCUUGACUUUGGGAUAACUUCAGGAAACAGGGGCUCAUACCGGAUAGGAGCUCCUGCUGCAUGUUGGGGGUUGGAAAGUUUCGGCGGUGGGGGAUGGACUCGCGGCUUAUCAGCUUGUUGGUGGGGUAGUGGCUUACAAGGGCUUUGACGGGUAGCCGGCCUGAGAGGGUGACCGGGCACAUUGGGACUGAGAUACGGCCCAGACUCCUACGGGAGGCAGAAGUGGGGAAUAUUGCACAAUGGGCGGAAGCCUGAUGCAGCAACGCCGCGUGCGGGAUGACGGCCUUCGGGUUGUAAACCGCUUUCGCCGGUGACGAAGCGUGAGUGACGGUAAUGGGUAAAGAAGCACCGGCUAACUACGUG
This 468-nucleotide ribosomal RNA is filed under the name uncultured bacterium. RNAcentral's name for it is "partial 16S ribosomal RNA". It matches the Rfam family "Bacterial small subunit ribosomal RNA", at positions 28 to 507 of the family's 1533-position model. The record is from RNAcentral.